UCGCUACUACCGAUUGAAUGAUUUAGUGAGUUGCACGGACUAGCGCACUUGGUUGGGUUUCCUUCCUUGUGUGCCGGGAAGUGUUGCAAACUUGACCAUUUAGAGGAAGUAA
This 112-nucleotide ribosomal RNA is filed under the name uncultured eukaryote. RNAcentral describes it as "partial small subunit ribosomal RNA". It matches the Rfam family "Eukaryotic small subunit ribosomal RNA", at positions 1676 to 1785 of the family's 1831-position model. The record is from RNAcentral.